RNAcentral lists this unclassified non-coding RNA (643 nucleotides) under Hevea brasiliensis (rubber tree). Lineage: Eukaryota; Viridiplantae; Streptophyta; Magnoliopsida; Malpighiales; Euphorbiaceae. The record is from RNAcentral.
GGGGACGUUGGAAUCUCUUGAGGUCCUAAAGUUUAAAGAAAAUGCAUUCACGGGUGAUUUCUGGGAGCCAAAGAGUGGAUUUAGCGCACUCCAAGUCUUGUGGAUUGAAAGGUCAGAAUUAGAAUCUUGGGAGGCUUCGGUUGUUAACUUCCCCGCACUUAGGCAACUGGUUCUUAUCUCUUGUGAUAAGCUUGAUGCUGUGCCACUUGAGCUAGCUGAUAUACCCAGCCUUGUAGAGAUGAGGCUGGAUAACACAAGCAAAGCGGUGAAAUCCGCAAAAAAUGUUCGGGAUAGCAAGACAUCUAAAGGCAUGAAACUCAAGCUAAGCAUAUACCCACCUGAAAAUUAAUCCAAGGUUUCACAGUGAUAUUGAAAGGGGACGACUUGGACAUCGAGCUUGCUGGAAGCCAGGGGUCAUCAGACAAAUAGCUAACUGGAGUAUUGUCAUUUUGAAAUAAGCCUAGGUCUGCUGCAACUCGAGUUCCCCUUUAUGUAGAUUGUUUUUUCUUUUUUCUCCGUUGUGAAACUGUUUGCAUCUUUCCUAUUCUAUUAUCUUUGUAGUUGCGUAAAACUGUUGUUUGCAUCUUUCCUAUUCUGUAAUCUUUGUAUUUGCUUUGGUAUGUUCGUGUAAAACUGUUGUUUU